This 1015-nucleotide ribosomal RNA is filed under the name 'Planicephalus flavicosta' phytoplasma. Its description in RNAcentral is "bacterial SSU rRNA". It matches the Rfam family "Bacterial small subunit ribosomal RNA", at positions 226 to 1250 of the family's 1533-position model. Lineage: Bacteria; Bacillati; Mycoplasmatota; Mollicutes; Acholeplasmatales; Acholeplasmataceae. The record is from RNAcentral.
GGGGCUUGCGACACAUUAGUUAGUUGGCAGGGUAAAGGCCUACCAAGACUAUGAUGUGUAGCUGGACUGAGAGGUUGAACAGCCACAUUGGGACUGAGACACGGCCCAAACUCCUACGGGAGGCAGCAGUAGGGAAUUUUCGGCAAUGGAGGAAACUCUGACCGAGCAACGCCGCGUGAACGAUGAAGUACCUCGGUAUGUAAAGUUCUUUUAUUAAGGAAGAAAAAAGAGUGGAAAAACUCCCUUGACGGUACUUAAUGAAUAAGCCCCGGCUAAUUAUGUGCCAGCAGCCGCGGUAAUACAUAAGGGGCGAGCGUUAUCCGGAAUUAUUGGGCGUAAAGGGUGCGUAGGCGGUUUAAUAAGUCUAUAGUUUAAUUUCAGUGCUUAACGCUGUUAUGCUAUAGAAACUGUUUUACUAGAGUGAGAUAGAGGCAAGCGGAAUUCCAUGUGUAGCGGUAAAAUGCGUAAAUAUAUGGAGGAACACCAGAGGCGUAGGCGGCUUGCUGGGUCUUUACUGACGCUGAGGCACGAAAGCGUGGGGAGCAAACAGGAUUAGAUACCCUGGUAGUCCACGCUGUAAACGAUGAGUACUAAGUGUCGGGUAAAACCGGUAUUGAAGUUAACACAUUAAGUACUCCGCCUGAGUAGUACGUACGCAAGUAUGAAACUUAAAGGAAUUGACGGGACUCCGCACAAGCGGUGGAUCAUGUUGUUUAAUUCGAAGAUACACGAAAAACCUUACCAGGUCUUGACAUUUUCUUGCGAAGUUAUAGAAAUAUAAUGGAGGUUAUCAGGAAGACAGGUGGUGCAUGGUUGUCGUCAGCUCGUGUCGUGAGAUGUUAGGUUAAGUCCUAAAACGAGCGCAACCCUUGUCGUUAAUUGCCAGCAUGUAAUGAUGGGGACUUUAACGAGACUGCCAAUGAAAAAUUGGAGGAAGGUGGGGAUUACGUCAAAUCAUCAUGCCCUUUAUGAUCUGGGCUACAAACGUGAUACAAUGGUUGAUACAAAGAGUAGC